AAAAAGACUGCAGGCAAAAUCUUGGUGUUCUCUGUGCUCUCUCCCUUCGAUUCAUCGCAAUUCGCAAUAGGAAAUAUAUUGUUCAUAUGGUAAGCAGCAUGGACAAGAGUGAUGAUUCUGGAAGCCUUCCCUGGCCAGGAUGCAUCCUUUUUCAAACAAGCAACUGAAGAUGUUGCCAAAGCUGUUGCUACUGUAGCUUUAGCUGCAGCUAUUCGUUCACCACGACUAUCUGUAGUUUUUUCUUCCACAGAUGAAUAUAGCAGUCAACUUGAGAAACAGCAACAUCAUGUUACAAGAGUAUUAGAGGGUCUUUCACCUUCACCCUGAGUGAAAAGAGGAGAUUAUAAUCCAGAAAUACUAACCAGCCAAAAACUCCAAUGGGCAAGGUUUCAGUUGCAGUUCUUGGUCUGUCAAAGAACCAUCAAGGCUAUUUGAGAACCAUGAGGCACUUCAAUGUCAAAUACUGAAGGGAAAAAAAGGACCAAUGAAGUCAAGAAGAAUACUAAAUUAUCAACAAGUGCAAGUUGGACGGAAUCUUCAACUGCAGGUAUUGCCACCUCUGAAGAGAGUUUUAUUGAUUCAUUCCCAAGUCAUGCCAGUCCUAUUAUUAAGCUCUUUGUGGCACUCAGCUCUUCUCUGUGCAUACUGACCUUGUUAUCUCUUUCUAUCAAUAAGAUUAGUGCUGCCGUGGGAGGCUCUGGUGGAUCAAGGGAAGCACCCUGUAUUUUAUUAAGGAGAAGUUUAAAAUGGAUAUCCAAGGAUGGAUAUUUACAAGAGUGUGGCUACGUUGGCUGAGAUCAAGAGGACUUCAGCUAGUAGUUAGAAAUACACCAGCUUUUCCCUGCUAUCAGACAGUCGCCGGCUGUUGGUGUUUCCUUCUUCAUCACAUUUGUCCUCCAAGAGGUCUAUAAAAUUUCCAACUCUUUUGGGGGCUGAGGGGCCAAGAUAGAUUAGAUGAUAUCUGUUGCCAGAUUAGUUUGGAGAAGGCGCAUGUCAAGAAGAGGUGAUCGGUCUUCUCCUCUUCUUUCUCCACAUAGGAUGCAGAAUUCUAUAGUCCUCCAUUUCCUUCAUAUUUUCGGCAGUUAAAAUCUUGUUGUUGUAUAAUAACCAGUUAAAAACCUUUACCUUUUCCGGAAGUGGCAUCUUCCAAUUCACUGUUGCGAAGCUUGAAGUGAUCCCUCCAUGGCUGUAAAUUUUGUAGUAGUUGCUGAUAGAGAAUUUCCUGGGGUUUCCCCAUUAGCAUUAUAUUUUAUCUUCCUUGUCAUUUAUAUGACAGUUCAUUUAGGAGCCUGGAUAUGAUUUGGAGUUCCUCGAAACCUCUCUGAUUUGGUGUCAUAGUAAGAUCUAGUUCCAUCACUGAUGAUCUGAAAAUUUGUGCCAUCGGGUUUUUGCUGAUAUGGCGAAAAGAGCUGGGAAAGACUUCUUUUAGAAGUUUCUCUGUAAGCCAUCUAUCAUGCCAAAAAGCUACUAGACUUCGUUCUGACUUGGAAAUUUAUACUGCUAAAGAACCAUUUCUGAACUGAGAUAAUGUUCUUCCAGGUUGGGAAGGCUUUUCCCAAAAGCUGUUGAGGCUGUUGGCUUGGUGUUGCAUCUGAGAAGUCGGACUUAAGAAUCAAAGUUCUGCAUGGUCUCUGCGGUUCCAUGUAGAGUCUCCACCACCAUUUCAUAAGCAGGCAUCUAUUAAAUAAUUUUAGAUCAAUUACACCCAGACUUCCUAGUUGUUUUGGUCUGUAGAUUUUUGACCAGCUAACUAAACAAUGGCCUCCUACGCAUGUAAGUAUUCCUUUCAAUUAUUCGAAUAACUUUGUUUGGGAGCAUCAUAGAAGGCAUCCAAUAGGUGGGGAUGGCACCUAGGACGGCAUUUACAAGGGCCAAUCUUCCGGCCAUGGUCAGUAGCUUUCCUCUCCACCUCGCUAACUUCCUUUCAAAUUUUUUCGUCUAAAAAUUUCCAAUCUCUUUCUUUUGGUCUCUUAUAAUGGAGUGAAUAUCCUAAAUAAGAUAAUGGCAAACUCCCCCUGCUGCAGCUCAUCAAGCUUGCAAACCAAUUGCUUGUUUUUUUAUCUAAUCCAAUCCCAACCAUUGAGCUCUUUCAGAAGUUAAUUCUCAGGCCAGUCAGUAGCUCAAAUGAGUAUAAUAAGAACUUGAGGUUUGAUGCAUGUUUUCUGUUGGCGUGACAUAGAAUCAAUGUAUCAUCAGCAAACUGUUGUGCAAGACUCAGCAAGAGUAUGUAUCACCUGUGUUUCCUUUGGCUCCGAUUCCUUUAAUCUAACAGUCAAUGUAUCAUCAGCAAGCUGUUGUGCAAGAGUAUGUAUCACCUGUGUUUCCUUUGGCUCCGAUUCCUUUUAUCAAUCUGCUUGAUUCGGCCCCU
Phoenix dactylifera (date palm) is the source of this 2368-nucleotide non-coding RNA. Lineage: Eukaryota; Viridiplantae; Streptophyta; Magnoliopsida; Arecales; Arecaceae. The record is from RefSeq and is a predicted model, not a curated record.